AUAUAUGCUCGCGUUAGGGAUUAUAGCGGUAGCUUUUGGCGAGAUAAGCAUCGAACCAAAACUACAAACGAAAAGCCCAAUCCGAC
This 86-nucleotide unclassified non-coding RNA is filed under the name Hyunsoonleella jejuensis. RNAcentral describes it as "Flavo-1 RNA". The record is from RNAcentral. Lineage: Bacteria; Pseudomonadati; Bacteroidota; Flavobacteriia; Flavobacteriales; Flavobacteriaceae.